AGAAUGAACGCUGGCGGCGUGCUUAACACAUGCAAGUCGUGCGCGAAGGCGGCUUCGGCUGCCGGAGAGCGGCGAACGGGUGAGUAACACGUGGGUAAUCUGCCUGGGAGCGGGGGAUAACCUGGGGAAACUCGGGCUAACACCGCAUACGUUGUCGGUCUUUUGGGACUGACAGGAAAGCUGGCCUCUGCUUGCAAGCUAGCGCUCCCAGAGGAGCCCGCGGCUGAUUAGCUAGUUGGUGAGGUAAUGGCUCACCAAGGCGACGAUCAGUAGCCGGCCUGAGAGGGUGAUCGGCCACACUGGGACUGAGACACGGCCCAGACUCCUACGGGAGCAGCAGUGGGAAUAUUGGACAAUGGGCGCAAGCCUGAUCCAGCAACGCCGCGUGGAGAUGAAGGUCUUCGGAUCGUAAACUCCUGUCAGACGGACGAAGGGCUCGGUAAAUAAUCGACGUCUUGACGGUACGUCAGAGGAAGCCCGCUAACUCCGUGAC
Molecule: ribosomal RNA, 493 nt
Filed under: uncultured soil bacterium
Lineage: Bacteria
Description: bacterial SSU rRNA
Rfam family: Bacterial small subunit ribosomal RNA
Source: RNAcentral